AGAGUUUGAUCAUGGCUCAGAUUGAACGCUGGUGGCAUGCUUAACACAUGCAAGUCGAACGGAAACGCGAAGAGCUUGCUCUUUGGCGUCGAGUGGCGGACGGGUGAGUAACGCGUGGGAAUCUACUCAGUAAUGGGGGAUAGCCAGGAGAAAUUCUGAUUAAUACCGCAUACGAUCUACGGAUGAAAGGUGGCCUCUACAUGUAAGCUAUCGCUAUUGAAUGAGCCCGCGUUAGAUUAGCUAGUUGGUAGGGUAAAGGCCUACCAAGGCGACGAUCUAUAGCUGGUCUGAGAGGACGACCAGCCACAUCGGGACUGAGACACGGCCCGGACUCCUACGGGAGGCAGCAGUGGGGAAUAUUGGACAAUGGGCGCAAGCCUGAUCCAGCAAUGCCGCGUGUGUGAAGAAGGCCUGAGGGUUGUAAAGCACUUUCAAUUGUGAAGAAGAGAUUAAGAUUAAUACUCUUGAUCUUUGACGUUAACUUUAGAAGAAGCACCGGCUAACUCUGUGCCAGCAGCCGCGGUAAUACAGAGGGUGCGAGCGUUAAUCGGAAUUACUGGGCGUAAAGCGCGCGUAGGCGGUUAUUUAAGUCAGAUGUGAAAUCCCCGGGCUCAACCUGGGAACUGCAUCUGAUACUGGGUAACUAGAGUUUGGGAGAGGGAAGUAGAAUUUCAGGUGUAGCGGUGAAAUGCAUAGAGAUCUGAAGGAAUACCAGUGGCGAAGGCGACUUCCUGGCCUAAAACUGACGCUGAGGCGCGAAAGCGUGGGUAGCAAACGGGAUUAGAUACCCCGGUAGUCCACGCCGUAAACGAUGUCAACUAGUCGUUGGUCCCCUUGAGGGAUCAGUGACGCAGCUAACGCAUUAAGUUGACCGCCUGGGGGAGUACGG
Molecule: ribosomal RNA, 889 nt
Filed under: uncultured Gammaproteobacteria bacterium
Lineage: Bacteria; Pseudomonadati; Pseudomonadota; Gammaproteobacteria
Description: bacterial SSU rRNA
Rfam family: Bacterial small subunit ribosomal RNA
Source: RNAcentral